Molecule: unclassified non-coding RNA, 336 nt
Filed under: soil metagenome
Description: partial contains 5.8S ribosomal RNA, internal transcribed spacer 2, and large subunit ribosomal RNA
Rfam family: 5.8S ribosomal RNA (bases 1-120)
Source: RNAcentral
GAUGAAGAACGCAGUGAAAUGCGAUAAGUAAUGUGAAUUGCAGAAUUCAGUGAAUCAUCGAAUCUUUGAACGCACAUUGCGCCCGCCAGUAUUCUGGCGGGCAUGCCUGUUCGAGCGUCAUUUCAACCAUCAAGCCCAAGGCUUGUGUUGGGGACCUGCGGCUGCCGCAGGCCCUGAAAACCAGUGGCGGGCUCGCUGUCACACCGGGCGUAGUAGAUUUUAUCUCGCUCAGGGCGUGCUGCGGGUUCCGGCCGUUAAAAAGCCUUUUUUACCCAAGGUUGACCUCGGAUCAGGUAGGAAUACCCGCUGAACUUAAGCAUAUCAAUAAGCGGAGGA